GGCAAAGAACUUGGUGGCUUCAUAUGUC
RNAcentral lists this non-coding RNA (28 nucleotides) under Mus musculus (house mouse). The record is from RNAcentral. Lineage: Eukaryota; Metazoa; Chordata; Mammalia; Rodentia; Muridae.